Molecule: long non-coding RNA, 1392 nt
Organism: Olea europaea var. sylvestris
Lineage: Eukaryota; Viridiplantae; Streptophyta; Magnoliopsida; Lamiales; Oleaceae
Exons: 2
Source: RefSeq, a predicted model, not a curated record
GACGAUUUUUGGUAAAGAUCGGGUGGUUAUUUAUUUGUUUGUUUAUUGGUAUUUGGUAAUUAUAAUAAACUGAAUCAAGUGGGAACUGGGCGGCUGCAAGCACGUGUUUAAAGAACUCUAUGGUGCAUACAUUCAACAGACCAAAAACUCUCUGGAAAAUGUUUGCUACCCCAUCCCAAUUCCUGAUAGUAAAAUGCAUUAGAAAAAUCUGCAUUUAGUUUCUGUUCUGCAGCUUCUUUCCAAUAGAACUCUCCUACUCUACUUCUCCAUGUCACUCAUAGAUGCAUAAUUAGCAGUCUCAAAUCUUCCUCUAUUGAUCGAACUCAUAUGUGACGGAAAAUCCAUCUGACUCUGAAUGGCACUAGUCACGUUGCUGGACUUCAUGUGUUUAGAUGUGUUGGGUUUCUCUUAAUGAAUGAUACAAUGGAGACACUGGCAGUGAGAAAAAAGGGGAGAAACUUUAGGGAGAAAUAUGCUUUCCUGGCAUCCGGUCAGAUAAUUAUUUCUUGUAACAUUCCUAACGAUGGCAAAAAUGUGAAAACUGAUUUUCUCACGACCUCUCUGCAGAAAAGCAAGACCUAUUCAUGAUAUUUGCAAUCAUAUAGCUGAACUUUUUAUUUGAGGAAACUUUAUUCCAUCACCUGUUUUUAUUGCUUUCUAUUGUGUUGCAGCUCCAUCCUUUUCGCCAGGGACAUCAUACCUGCCUCUGGUUCAUAAUCAUUAUUUGCAAUCCCUGUUGCAGGAAUCGUAUUGCCAAAAUGACAUGACAGAGAAGAUAUGCUUCGAUCCUGAUAUAUUCUUCCACGUGAUUAAGCUGUACCUGUAGCACUUCUCUUAUUUUUUCAGCUUUUCUUUCUUCCCAUUGGAUAGUUAAGUUCUGAAAAAGGGUUCAUAGGGUAUGUACUUGGCAUAGCCAUUGUUAAAAAAAGGGAUAAAACCCAGAUAGAGUUGUAGCGCUGAGGGAAAUAACCAAGGGUAAAACCAAACCGUCAAUAGCUAUUCUAUCAGUGUGUGUUGAAACCACUUGCAAGUCAAUGUAGUUAGGUCAGUAUAUUUUUGAAUCUUGAGGUAUGGAUGGAGCAAACGCAUAAGAGGAUCAGAUUUUCCAACUGUUCUUUACUUGCUUUCCUGUUAGACUGCAGAAUAUCAGUAACAUUUGUAGACAAGGAUGGAGAAGAGAAGCAUACCAAGGUCCCUGUUGGCACAUCGAUGUUAGAACCUGCACACGAGAAUGAUGUUGAGCUUGAAGGUAAAUAUUAAACAUGUUCGGUUUAAGCUUUAAAAAAAAUGUAAAAAGUUACUUUUCAACUCACCUUUUGUUUACAAACCGUGUUCGGAAAUAUUGAUUUUUGCCAACUUUUAUAUAAAAAUAAAAUAAAUUCUCGUCUUUAA